AGUGGAAGCGUCUGGAAAGGCGCGUGAUACAGGGUGACAGCCCCGUACACAAAAAUGCACAUGCUGUGAGCUCGAUGAGUAGGGCGGGACACGUGGUAUCCUGUCUGAAUAUGGGGGGACCAUCCUCCAAGGCUAAAUACUCCUGACUGACCGAUAGUGAACCAGUACCGUGAGGGAAAGGCGAAAAGAACCCCGGCGAGGGGAGUGAAAAAGAACCUGAAACCGUGUACGUACAAGCAGUGGGAGCACGCUUAGGCGUGUGACUGCGUACCUUUUGUAUAAUGGGUCAGCGACUUAUAUUCUGUAGCAAGGUUAACCGAAUAGGGGAGCCGAAGGGAAACCGAGUCUUAACUGGGCGUUAAGUUGCAGGGUAUAGACCCGAAACCCGGUGAUCUAGCCAUGGGCAGGUUGAAGGUUGGGUAACACUAACUGGAGGACCGAACCGACUAAUGUUGAAAAAUUAGCGGAUGACUUGUGGCUGGGGGUGAAAGGCCAAUCAAACCGGGAGAUAGCUGGUUCUCCCCGAAAGCUAUUUAGGUAGCGCCUCGUGAAUUCAUCUCCGGGGGUAGAGCACUGUUUCGGCAAGGGGGUCAUCCCGACUUACCAACCCGAUGCAAACUGCGAAUACCGGAGAAUGUUAUCACGGGAGACACACGGCGGGUGCUAACGUCCGUCGUGAAGAGGGAAACAACCCAGACCGCCAGCUAAGGUCCCAAAGUCAUGGUUAAGUGGGAAACGAUGUGGGAAGGCCCAGACAGCCAGGAUGUUGGCUUAGAAGCAGCCAUCAUUUAAAGAAAGCGUAAUAGCUCACUGGUCGAGUCGGCCUGCGCGGAAGAUGUAACGGGGCUAAACCAUGCACCGAAGCUGCGGCAGCGACGCUUAUGCGUUGUUGGGUAGGGGAGCGUUCUGUAAGCCUGUGAAGGUGUACUGUGAGGUAUGCUGGAGGUAUCAGAAGUGCGAAUGCUGACAUAAGUAACGAUAAAGCGGGUGAAAAGCCCGCUCGCCGGAAGACCAAGGGUUCCUGUCCAACGUUAAUCGGGGCAGGGUGAGUCGACCCCUAAGGCGAGGCCGAAAGGCGUAGUCGAUGGGAAACAGGUUAAUAUUCCUGUACUUGGUGUUACUGCGAAGGGGGGACGGAGAAGGCUAUGUUGGCCGGGCGACGGUUGUCCCGGUUUAAGCGUGUAGGCUGGUUUUCCAGGCAAAUCCGGAAAAUCAAGGCUGAGGCGUGAUGACGAGGCACUACGGUGCUGAAGCAACAAAUGCCCUGCUUCCAGGAAAAGCCUCUAAGCAUCAGGUAACAUCAAAUCGUACCCCAAACCGACACAGGUGGUCAGGUAGAGAAUACCAAGGCGCUUGAGAGAACUCGGGUGAAGGAACUAGGCAAAAUGGUGCCGUAACUUCGGGAGAAGGCACGCUGAUAUGUAGGUGAAGUCCCUCGCGGAUGGAGCUGAAAUCAGUCGAAGAUACCAGCUGGCUGCAACUGUUUAUUAAAAACACAGCACUGUGCAAACACGAAAGUGGACGUAUACGGUGUGACGCCUGCCCGGUGCCGGAAGGUUAAUUGAUGGGGUUAGCGCAAGCGAAGCUCUUGAUCGAAGCCCCGGUAAACGGCGGCCGUAACUAUAACGGUCCUAAGGUAGCGAAAUUCCUUGUCGGGUAAGUUCCGACCUGCACGAAUGGCGUAAUGAUGGCCAGGCUGUCUCCACCCGAGACUCAGUGAAAUUGAACUCGCUGUGAAGAUGCAGUGUACCCGCGGCAAGACGGAAAGACCCCGUGAACCUUUACUAUAGCUUGACACUGAACAUUGAGCCUUGAUGUGUAGGAUAGGUGGGAGGCUUUGAAGUGUGGACGCCAGUCUGCAUGGAGCCGACCUUGAAAUACCACCCUUUAAUGUUUGAUGUUCUAACGUGGACCCGUAAUCCGGGUUGCGGACAGUGUCUGGUGGGUAGUUUGACUGGGGCGGUCUCCUCCUAAAGAGUAACGGAGGAGCACGAAGGUUGGCUAAUCCUGGUCGGACAUCAGGAGGUUAGUGCAAUGGCAUAAGCCAGCUUGACUGCGAGCGUGACGGCGCGAGCAGGUGCGAAAGCAGGUCAUAGUGAUCCGGUGGUUCUGAAUGGAAGGGCCAUCGCUCAACGGAUAAAAGGUACUCCGGGGAUAACAGGCUGAUACCGCCCAAGAGUUCAUAUCGACGGCGGUGUUUGGCACCUCGAUGUCGGCUCAUCACAUCCUGGGGCUGAAGUAGGUCCCAAGGGUAUGGCUGUUCGCCAUUUAAAGUGGUACGCGAGCUGGGUUUAGAACGUCGUGAGACAGUUCGGUCCCUA
This 2321-nucleotide ribosomal RNA is filed under the name Escherichia coli. RNAcentral describes it as "partial 23S ribosomal RNA". It matches the Rfam family "Bacterial large subunit ribosomal RNA", at positions 331 to 2640 of the family's 2925-position model. The record is from RNAcentral. Lineage: Bacteria; Pseudomonadati; Pseudomonadota; Gammaproteobacteria; Enterobacterales; Enterobacteriaceae.